This 575-nucleotide long non-coding RNA is filed under the name Homo sapiens (human). Its description in RNAcentral is "HSALNT0291313". The record is from RNAcentral. Lineage: Eukaryota; Metazoa; Chordata; Mammalia; Primates; Hominidae.
ACACUUCCAUCAAACAGUACCUGCCCCUUAGGUGUGCUAGGGAAUAAAUGAAAUGCCUGGGACAUCAUCGUUAAGUGGCAUCUGAUGCAUAAGCAGUGCCCUAGGAAUGGGGUUGCCUGCCUUGGUCUCUAAAGGAUGGGUUCAAAAGGCAAGAGCAGCACACAAGAAGAUAGCUUCAAGCAGGAGAUAAAGCUUGGCCCAGGGCCCAAAGGGGAUACGACCCUUCAGCAAACUGACAUGCUGAAAGCUGCCCUAUGGAGAGGCUCAUGUGGCAAGGAACAGAGGGUGGCUUCUGGCCAACACCCAGUGAGGAACUCAGGCCCUCAGUCAAACAGCCUGCAAGGAACUGAACCCUGCCAAUAACCCACUGAGGAACUGAAUCCAGCAAACAAUUAUGUGAAGAAACUUGGAAGCUUGUCCUCCCCUCUAGUUGAGCUUUGAGAUGACUGCCGCCCUAGUGGACACCUUGAUUGAAGCCUUAUGAGAAACCCUAAGCCAGAGAACCCAAUUAAGCUACGCUUACAUUCCUAACACAGAGAAAAUAUGAGCUAAUAAAUGUUGUUUCAAACCACUAA